This is a long non-coding RNA of Apis florea (little honeybee), 117 nucleotides long. NCBI's taxonomy places the organism in Eukaryota, Metazoa, Arthropoda, Insecta, Hymenoptera, Apidae. The record is from RefSeq and is a predicted model, not a curated record.
AUUAACAUUUUCUUCUUCUAAAUAUCUUAAUAUCUCUAUCAUGCAUAUAACAUUAUCUUCAUUUUCGAAAUCUUUUUAUCUUGGUGUUUUUGUACUUGGUAUGGUUUACUUGUAUCU